Molecule: transfer RNA, 86 nt
Filed under: Marmota monax (woodchuck)
Lineage: Eukaryota; Metazoa; Chordata; Mammalia; Rodentia; Sciuridae
Description: tRNA.Thr
Source: RNAcentral
GGGUAUAGCUCAGUGGUAGAGCUCUUGCCUAGUAUGAGUAUUUGCCUAGCAUGUGCAAGGCCCUGGGUUCAAUCCCCAGCAUCACA